RNAcentral lists this transfer RNA (69 nucleotides) under Crocuta crocuta (spotted hyena). RNAcentral describes it as "tRNA-Gly". Lineage: Eukaryota; Metazoa; Chordata; Mammalia; Carnivora; Hyaenidae. The record is from RNAcentral.
AUNNCUUUAGUACCAACUAGUACAAUUGGCUUCCAACCAAUUAGUUUCGGUCUAACCCGAAAAGAAAUA